RNAcentral lists this long non-coding RNA (469 nucleotides) under Manihot esculenta (cassava). RNAcentral's name for it is "long non-coding RNA (MESC_LNC008973)". The record is from RNAcentral. Lineage: Eukaryota; Viridiplantae; Streptophyta; Magnoliopsida; Malpighiales; Euphorbiaceae.
UUCAACAAAAACUCAAUAAAAAAAGCCUAAACUACGAAGAAAAAACUUAGGCGAUGAAACCAGCACAUUGCAGAUCGCCCAUUAUCCAUAGGAAGUUAGAAACACAAGUUGCAUAUAAGGAGAUGAGGUAUGGCGAAUCACAACAGAAUUCAAUAUAAAUUAAUGAGUAUUGCAUGGAAUUGACUAUUAAUUCAGAGGCAUGUCCUCUAUGUUUCUUUAGUUGUAUUAUGGGUUCAGGGAUGGUGCAUUUCUCUAAGUUUGUUAUGAAGUCUAUGCAGAUACGUUUCCAUCAGUGUAAUGUUUUUCUUGCGUUGUCUGGCACCGCAGGAAGAUUUUCUUGGUUCCUGUCAUUUUUUUUGCCCUUUGCUCGUCUUCUCAGAGGUUUUUGGUUCUAGCUGGUAACGGCUCGAUCAUUUUUUCUUUUUCUUAAGAAUUGCUUAUCUUGUUAGGAGUUAGAGAGUGGCGGCGG